Oryzias sinensis (Chinese medaka) is the source of this 2341-nucleotide long non-coding RNA. NCBI's taxonomy places the organism in Eukaryota, Metazoa, Chordata, Actinopteri, Beloniformes, Adrianichthyidae. The record is from Ensembl.
ACAACUAUUAUUCACCAGUUGUACUAAAAUGUUUGUUGUCCUACCAUGUGCUGAAGCUGGAGUCCUUGAAUAAGAAUCAAACCACACCAUUAAACUGGCUCAUCAUAACAAUAACCAUUUUUUGGAUGCAAACAUGUUGAUAUGAUAAGAUCACCUUAUUCCUUUGUGUUUAAGGGGAAUACAAUUAGAAGUAUUUUUAAAAUAACUCAAAACUGUUGAAUUACAUUUACAUAUUUGUUGUUCUCUCUGCUUUGCAAGGGCCAAAGUGAAAAAGUGGACUGCUGGUUUAAGCACCCGACCCAGGUCCCUGCCUUCAGGGCUUCGACAUCAGUGCUGACAAAAAGCCAUGAAAAGCACUGAGAAAUGUUUCAUCGGUCACGACACAUUAUGCAGCCGGACCCAGGUCAUCACUGCUUUAACAACUGUGCUAAAGAAUAAGCGCUUGGCAGAUGGGAGAGACUGUGGCUUGGAUCACUGUAGUGAAACCAGACCUGACAUCCAUUUCCUUGGCCAGUGGAAUCAGUGUUACCAUCUAAAUAUCCAGGAUCUGCUAGUAAGUUCACACAGUUUGGGUCUAACCCCAAAGCAUUUCUGAUCUGUCUGAGGAUUCCAUACUGGUCUUUUUGGAUGCUGUUUUUAACUCCGUGGUCAAACCAGAGCAAACAAGGAUGCGAGCCUGCUGUUUUGGAAUCUGGUGUCACAUCUUUGUUCAAUAAGGUGGAGAUUGGUCACACUGUAGGUCAUUCUGCAAGAGAAUCAAAGUGAGGACAUCUAAGCCUCAGGGAUGGCUAGUUUGGGUACUGUUUUAGGCUUUUGUGUUGUUUUGGGUCUUUAAAAGUGGUGUGGUGUGCAUUACAGGGCAGGGGUAGAGGUUGAGAGUAAAAAAAAAAAUGUUUGCAAGAGAGCAAUCCAGGGAAAAUACUGGGAGAUCAGCUGGCUCAACAAUUCAGAGAAAUGAAAAUAAACAGGGAACAAGAACAACUAAUCCCAACAAAUACAAGAUUAAAAAGUGAAGUGAUUCCAAAUAUGGCUGUCGAUUACAGAAAGACGGUUAUUUGGACAGAUAGAGCCUAUGAGUAAAAGACCAAAAGAGGAGAUGGAAACUCAGCCAUGGAGGGUCUAACUGUUCACAUGUUUUGAAUGAUGAGUUCUGCUUUGGGGAUUUUUUGGCACACGUGGCCAAAAACGAACACAAUUUAGGGAUUAGCAAUUUUAUUAGCAGAAUAAUAUCUAAUUAUGUAAAUAUCUAAUUGCCUCAUCAUAUACGUGUAAUGUUUAAAUGUUAUGUAUCUAUUCUCGGUUAACAUUUUGAGCUUUCCAAGCGCACCUUAGGUUAAUUAAAUAAGUGUCAAACAUAUGGUCUUUGACCCUGAAUAUUAAAAAAAACCCGGAAAUGAUAAGGAAUGCAUUUGAUCCACACAGCUGCAUGGCUUCACCCUUAUUCAAACUGUGGAUUCAUCUAAAUUCUAUGGAAUCUUCUGCAACACAUUUUUCUCUUUCCUUUUUUUUUUUUUUGCCCUCAGAGUUCAGAAGCUUGUAGGUCUUUAAUUAUGUAUAAUAUUCUUUUGCCCUGUUUUAUAGAAACUCCAGACUGGUUUCGCUCAAGUCAUCGACUUGAAAGUUUGAAAACCUCCAGUGACAAGAAUAUUAAUGUGCCAGCAGUGUCAUAUCUGUUUCAGCUCAUGCAUAUUCAAUGUCCCCCCAGCUCUCCAAGAUUUAUGUCAGACUUUGCCAGAGAGUAGUUUUCCACCAUUGGAGAUAAUAGCAUGCUAAAUUGAUGUUAUCGGGGGCAGGUUUUUUGUCUUUACUUCUCUCCAGGUCGGGAGGGUUGGAAGAAGGGAGCUGGGAGCAACCCACUCUUCUGGCUGCUGUUCAGACUGUUGGCAGCUUCCACACUCACCUCCACCCACUGGACUGUUCAGCAACAGUGGCGGGCCCGAGAACCUCCAUCUACUCCUGCAUGGGUGGAGCAGAGGGCAUAUUUUGGAAGGAGAUUAGGGGGUGAUCCUGUGGAUUAUCUUUUAAUUAAGGAUGGUUGAGUUGUGCCCACUCUGGUGGAGCAAACGCCCAGCUGCUAAUGAAGUUUAAACAGACAUACUUUAUUUAAUUACUGCUAAUCGCUGGGCCCAAAGUCUGGCCCUCUUUGAUCUGCCUGUCGCACUGUAAUCUUCCUGGCAGAUACCAUCUCCCGUUCUACCCCAAUCCCUUUUAGAAGUUGCUACGGGAGGUCCAAGAUUAACCAUGGGUUAAUUGAGACAGCCAGGGUAGAACUAUGGGUGUGUGUGAGUGAGAGGAAUAGACAGAAAGGAAGGACUAGAGAGGGUGUAAGAAGGAGGGAGGA